GACGAACGCUGGCGGCGUGCUUAACACAUGCAAGUCGAACGAGUGGCGGACGGGUGAGUAAUGUCUGGGAAACUGCCUGAUGGAGGGGGAUAACUACUGGAAACGGUAGCUAAUACCGCAUACCAUCGGAUGUGCCCAGAUGGGGUUAGCUAGUAGGUGGGGUAAAGGCUCACCUAGGCGACGAUCCCUAGCUGGUCUGAGAGGAGGACCGGCCACACUGGAACUGAGACACGGUCCAGACUCCUACGGGAGGCAGCAGUGGGGAAUGUUGCGCAAUGGGCGCAAGCCUGAUGCAGCCAUGCCGCGUGUAUGAAGAAGGCCUUCGGGUUGUAAAGUACUUUCAGCGGGGAGGCGUUACCCGCAGAAGAAGCACCGGCUAACUCCGUGCCAGCAGCCGCGGUAAUUC
This 406-nucleotide ribosomal RNA is filed under the name uncultured bacterium. RNAcentral describes it as "partial 16S ribosomal RNA". It matches the Rfam family "Bacterial small subunit ribosomal RNA", at positions 28 to 526 of the family's 1533-position model. The record is from RNAcentral.